RNAcentral lists this long non-coding RNA (3415 nucleotides) under Homo sapiens (human). RNAcentral describes it as "non-protein coding LOXL1-AS1:46". The record is from RNAcentral. Lineage: Eukaryota; Metazoa; Chordata; Mammalia; Primates; Hominidae.
AGUCCCUGGAGUUCCCAGCCAAGCCACAGACCUGCCUCUGAGGAAGGGAAUCGAGCAGGGAGUAGGAGGGGACCUCUGGGGACUCGGGCCUGGAGCUCCUGCCUGCCUGGAUGAAGAGGAGGUCAAGACUUUGUCCCCCACUCCGCAAGAUACCCUCUCUGUUCCGGAGCGGUGAGACAGGAUUUCACCAUGUUAGCCAGGAUGGUCUUGAUCUCCUGACCUCAUGAUCUGCCCACCUCGGCCUCCCAAAGUGCUGGGCUUACAGGCGUGAGCCACCGUGCCCGGCCAAAAAUAACUUUUAAAAACAUGAGUAUAGCAUACACACACACAAAAGUCCACAAAUCCUAGGUGUACCACUUGAUGAAUGAUCCCAACGUGAGCACACCUCUGGAUUACCACCUGGAUCAAGAAAUAGGACAUCACAGCAGCUGGCAGCUUCCAAGGAGAAGCUCUGGAAAGUUCUGCCUGUCUCAGCACCUGGCUGGAUCGGAAACGAGUUUUCUUUAACCAGAUUUUUAAUGACUGACUUAUGUGGACAAAUCAUAACUGAAUGAAUCACCUCCUUUGUUGAUUUUUUUGGGUACUUUAUUUGCUAUUAUAAAUGAUGCUGUAAUAAGCACCCUUGAAGAAAUCUUCAUAUCUGCCUCUCCUGUGUAGCAGGUCACAGUGCCUGGGUUUGGUUCUAGCCCUCAUUUGUGAACUGUGUGACUCACCAUGCCUUUUUUCUUUCUGUAAGACAGGAAUAAUGGUAAGAAUUUAAAUGGGGGUAAUAUGGAGCGCGUUUAGUUCAGAGCCUGGUGCAUACAAGCACUCAAUAAGUACUGGCGAUUAUUAGACCUUUAGAUUAAUUUAUUAGAAGUUGGAUUUCUGGUGAAAGGGUUUGAGUGUUUUUGAGGCUUUGGCACAGAAUACCCAGCUGGUCCCAGAAAGGUGGUUCCCAUUUACCUGCCCGAAGGUAAUUCACCCUUACUGAUACUGAGUACUGUUUUCUAAAAGAACAUUAAAAAUUGGAUAGGUUAAAAACAGGUGAAUACAUUUUUUUAGUUGCAUUUUUUUGGUUACCCGUGAGAGUGAACAUGUUGCCAUGUGUUUGCUGACCUCCUAAAUGGUCUAUUUGCUCCUACCUUUGUACCCCAAAAGUCUGCUCUCAAGAUGGUAGCCAGAAUGAUCCUUUUUGAGACAUAAGUCAAAAUUUCACUCUUCUCCUUAAAGCUCUGCAAUGGUUCUCAGGUUAAAAGCCAAAGUCCUGUUCAAGGCCUCCAGGGUCCUCACCACUUGGUCCCUUGCUCUUUCUGUUCUAGCCAACUUGGCCUUCUCCUGCCCCUCCGCCGCACCAUGGCAAUUUCCCCUGCUCUGUGUGGUCAACUACCUGAAUCUGUUCAAAGCUUUGCUCAAAUGUCUCCUUCCUGAUGAGACCUCCCCAGCCCCUGAGCUCCCCAUGCCUCACUCCUGAUCGCCUUACUUAACCCUUCUUUUUCUUUUUUGCCAGUAGUACUUAUCACCGUCUAAAAUACUUCAUAAUUUACUUGUUUAUUGUUUGCCCCUCUCCAAUAGAAUGUAAGCUCCUUGGGGCAGGGACCUUUGUCCUUUGUCUUGUUCACUGCUGUGUCCCAUGUGUAAACUUGUCUGGCACAGAAGAGGUGCUCGAUAAAUAUUUGUUGAGUGAAUGAAUGGUAAAUUUUCUGUUCAUAUUCUUUGACUAUUUUCUAUUGUAAUGUUCAUCUUUUUAGUAUUGGUUUAUAAGAUGUAUAUUUAGCACCUUUUCAUAUAUCACUCUUUGUCACAUAUUAUGCAACUAAUUUGUCAUUUCCAUCAAUUUUUAAAAUACUUUCUUGAUGCUUCAUUUUUAAGCUGUCAGAUUAUUAAUCUUUUCUUUAUGGUCUUGGACUUUAUUGUUGCAUAACCGCUGCCUUCACCAGGAACAUAUAAAUUUUCAAUUAAAUGUUCUUCUGAGAUUUUAUGAUUUCACUUUUUAUAUUAAACUCUUCAUUUUGUCUUCAUGUGUGGUGAGAGGUAAGAACAUAACUUUAAAGCAAAUUAACCAACUAUCCCCAAAUGAAUUAUAAAUAAAUUAAUCAUUUUCCAAUGAUCUGAAAGGCCAUUUUAUCAUACACUAAAUAUUUUUGUGUGUUUGACUGGGUUUACCGUUCUGUUCCGUUGGCCUAUCACAUCGUUCUUACAUUGGUAUUUGUUGCCCUAUUUUAAUGAUUGUAACUUUUUAAUAAGGGUUAAUGACUGAGAAUACAAGUCCCAUUGUUUUGUUUUAUUAUUUUUAUUAUUUUUUUGAGACAGGGUUUCACUCUGUCACCCAGGCUGGAGUAUAGUAGCACUAUCUCGGCUCAUUGCAACCUCUGCCUCCCUGGUUCAAGUGAUUCUCCCACCUCAACCUCCCGAGUAGCUGGGACUACAGAUGCAUGCCACCACACCCAGCUAAUUCUUGUAUUUUUAGUAGAGACAGGGUUUCACCAUGUUGACCAGGCUGGUCUUGAACUCCUGGCUUCAAGUGAUUCACCUGCCUCGACCUCCCAAAGUGCUGGGAUUACAGGCGUGACUCACCACGCCUGGCCCAUUUUUUUCUUUUGAGGUGUUCUUUGUGGCAAUUCAUAUAUUCUUUAAGAUAAAUUCUAAACUUUUUUUUUCUGCCGAGAUAAACUAGCAGACAAAUCCCACUGGACAUUGCAAUUGGAUUAGUUUUGUAGAUUAAUUUAGUGAUAAUCAACUUCUUUGCACCAUUGAGUGCUUCUGUCCGGGAACGUGGCAUAUCUUUCUAUUAUUAAGGUCUUUUUUAUUAUAGGUCUUUAGGGAAGCUUUAUUUUAUAGAUGAAUGUAGUGUGUUUGGUGCUUAUUUUCAUAAAAUAAAGCAAUGACAUCUGUGGCAGGCAGCUUCUGAAAUGGCUCCCAAUGAUCCUUACCUUCUGAUAGUCACCCCCUUGGAGAAUCCCUUUCCUUUGUGUGUGGGCUGGAUCUAGUGACUUGCUUCUCAUAAAUAGAAUAUGGCAAAAAAUGAUGGGUUGUUACUUCUGAGAUUAGGUUAUAAGAGGCGAAUUUCUGUUUUGCUGUAAUUUUGUCUCUCUAACCCUCUUGCUUUCCUGUGCUCAUGAAACCAGCUGCUGUGUUGUGAGCCACCUUAUGGAAAACCCAUGUGGCAGAGAACCGAGGGUGGUGGCUGGCCAACAGCAAGCCAGGAGCUGAGGCCCACAGUCCAACAACUGGUGAGGAACCACAUGCUGCCAGCAGCCAUGUGAGGGAACUUAGAAGCAAAUCCUUCCCCAGUUGAGCCUUCAGAUGACACCAGAGCCUUGGCUGACCCCUUACUUUUACCCUUGUAAGAGACUUUGAGCCAGAAGACUUGGCUAAACCACACCUGGAUUCCUGACCCACAGAAACUUGAAAUAAUAAAUGUGUUGUUUUAAGU